RNAcentral lists this ribosomal RNA (497 nucleotides) under uncultured bacterium. Its description in RNAcentral is "partial 16S ribosomal RNA". It matches the Rfam family "Bacterial small subunit ribosomal RNA", at positions 28 to 507 of the family's 1533-position model. The record is from RNAcentral.
GAUGAACGCUGGCGGCGUGCCUAAUACAUGCAAGUCGAGCGAACAGACGAGGAGCUUGCUCCUCUGCCGUUAGCGGUGGACGGGUGAGUAACAAGUGGAUAACUUACCUAUAAGACUGGGAUAACUUCGGGAAACCGGAGAUAAUACCGGAUAAUCUAUUGCACCGCAUGGUUCAAUAGUGCAAGGCGGUUUUGCUGUCACUUAUAGAUGGAUCCGCGUCGCAUUAGCUAGUUGGUAAGGUAACGGCUUACCAAGGCAACGAUGCGUAGCCGACCUGAGAGGGUGAUCGGCCACACUGGAACUGAGACACGGUCCAGACUCCUACGGGAGGCAGCAGUAGGGAAUCUUCCGCAAUGGGCGAAAGCUUGACGGAGCAACGCCGCGUGAGUGAUGAAGGUCUUCGGAUCGUAAAACUCUGUUAUUAGGGAAGAACAAAUGUGUAAGUAACUAUGCACGUCUUGACGGUACCUAAUCAGAAAGCCACGGCUAACUACGUG